ACCGGCGGCUCGAGUGGUGGCCACUAUUACUGGGCUUAAAGCGUUCGUAGCUGGCUUGUUAAGUCUCUGGGGAAAUCUUCCGGCUCAACCGGAAGGCGUCUCAGGGAUACUGGCAGGCUAGGGACCGGAAGAGGUGAGAGGUACUCCAGGGGUGGGAUCGAACCCGGGCGGCCCCUGGGGGGAGGAAUGUGGGCAGGGGGAACCACCAGGACGACACCCACAGUGGGGAGGCUAACCGGGUAAAGCAAAGAG
RNAcentral lists this ribosomal RNA (252 nucleotides) under uncultured prokaryote. RNAcentral describes it as "partial 16S rRNA". It matches the Rfam family "Archaeal small subunit ribosomal RNA", at positions 475 to 726 of the family's 1478-position model. The record is from RNAcentral.